Molecule: ribosomal RNA, 200 nt
Filed under: uncultured bacterium
Lineage: Bacteria
Description: partial 16S ribosomal RNA
Rfam family: Bacterial small subunit ribosomal RNA
Source: RNAcentral
AGAGUUUGAUCCUGGCUCAGAACGAACGCUGGCGGCAUGCUUAACACAUGCAAGUCGAACGAAGGCUUCGGCCUUAGUGGCGCACGGGUGAGUAACGCGUGGGAACCUGCCUCUUGGUUCGGAAUAACUGCGGGAAACUGCAGCUAAUACCGGAUACGUCGGUGGAUCGUGGAGGUCUGCUGGGAAAGAUUUAUCGCCGA